GAGUCGACCGGAUCGAUGGCCCGUUUCACGACGAGGUAGUCACGCAGCACGAUCGCGUGCCGGUUGUC
Molecule: small RNA, 68 nt
Filed under: Gordonia bronchialis DSM 43247
Lineage: Bacteria; Bacillati; Actinomycetota; Actinomycetes; Mycobacteriales; Gordoniaceae
Description: ASdes TB sRNA
Rfam family: ASdes TB sRNA
Source: Rfam by way of RNAcentral